This is a non-coding RNA of Acanthosepion pharaonis, 114 nucleotides long. The record is from the annotation of a GenBank genome assembly. Lineage: Eukaryota; Metazoa; Mollusca; Cephalopoda; Sepiida; Sepiidae.
UAUGGCCACAUCACAAUGAAACACUGGUUUCCUGUAUGAUCCCUGAAGUUAAGCAAUAUUGAACCUGGUCAGUUCCUAGAUGGGUGACUGCUUGGGAAUACCAGGUGCUGUAAG